RNAcentral lists this long non-coding RNA (475 nucleotides) under Carica papaya (papaya). RNAcentral describes it as "long non-coding RNA (CPAP_LNC014447)". Lineage: Eukaryota; Viridiplantae; Streptophyta; Magnoliopsida; Brassicales; Caricaceae. The record is from RNAcentral.
CGCUUUUCCGUGAUUUUUUUGGCCCCCCGAGGGCCCUAGGGUUGUUUUCUGACAAGGACCAAUGCGAGUGUGGCCGAAUUCGGCCAAAAACGGCCGAAAACAGUCAACCCGAGGCGACUCGCCGCCGUCAGCGGCGGCGCCGUCGCCGGAGCACGGCGGAGCCGCCGUGCCGGAGUUGCGAUUUGGGCCGAAAGAGGCCCUGGGCCUAAUUUGGAUUUUUUUUGGAACACGUGCAGGUACUGUUAGUGUGUUUCAGUUCCCCGGAAAAAAUUCAGGGAAAAUUAGGGACAGCCUGCAGGCGCACUGUGAAUCGUAUUCGGAUCCCGAAAACAAGUAAGGACCCCUCACCUUAUUUCCUAUCACGGUAUUAAAGUUCAAAAUGAUAAAACGGUAUUUCUUGAAUUAAUACAUGUGUGAAAUUGCUUAAGGUAGCUAAUGGAGCCCGAGUCUAGUGUGAUUGGUGGUUUACUGUUAU